CGUGUACAAGGAGAAUACAUGCCUUUUCAUGUCUGGAUGUGAGAAAGAUAUACGUAAACAUAUAAUGACUGCAUGGCCGUUGACUGUAGGCGUGGGCGAUCGAAUUUCCAGCCAAUCAAAGAUCGAGAACGCAACCACAUGACCCGAAGGCAACCGCAGAUAAAAGCACGUGACGUCAUCCGUUGUUUACCCACAGAAGUGAGACUGUCGAGGCGCGUGCAAUUUCUGUGAAAGCACAAGACAAUGGCCACUGACAUUGAAAGGCUGGUUUUGUUCGAAGAGGCGACCUAUGACCAGUAUGAUUAUUACAACCUAGAUGAAUAUCCCUGUCAUGCUGGAGGAAAAGGAAGAACUAAGAAAGAAAUCGGAUUAAACACAAACCGCCAUUGUCCUGCAGGACAUGAGAGAAAAAUCGCAGAAAAAUUCCGUAACAGUGAAUUGAAGAGGAAGAGAACCAAAAGCGCUUGAACGAUGUAUAACUGAACCAGGAAAACCCGCACUGGAAACGACUUGAGAACCGGAUCGUGGUCUAAAAUGUUUGUUGAGCCUUUUCCUCCCAUGUUGAACUAGAAUGCGCGCACGCGCGCCACUGACGCACCUGAAGCCUCGUGAGCGCGCAUCCCCGAUUCCGCGUUCCCGCUUCUGGGCACGGAUCUGUCCGCUGGAGUCAGGUUGCAGCUGUGCACACGAAUAGCCUUGUUUUGCUUGGGUGUUGGCUCAAUUUUAAAGGUGUUCUUAAGCAGCGUGUCGUCGUUAUGUCUUUUUAAACGUUGUGUUGGUGUUUAGAAAUCACUUGAAUAACAAUAAACACUGAUUUAAAUUGUUGGUA
Ictalurus punctatus (channel catfish) is the source of this 829-nucleotide long non-coding RNA. RefSeq lists it as uncharacterized. The record is from RefSeq and is a predicted model, not a curated record. The transcript is spliced from 2 exons. Lineage: Eukaryota; Metazoa; Chordata; Actinopteri; Siluriformes; Ictaluridae.